This 336-nucleotide ribosomal RNA is filed under the name Triticum aestivum (bread wheat). RNAcentral's name for it is "partial small subunit ribosomal RNA". Lineage: Eukaryota; Viridiplantae; Streptophyta; Magnoliopsida; Poales; Poaceae. The record is from RNAcentral.
AUGCAGACAGUUGUGGAUCGCACUUGCUUAAUCUGCAUGAAUUUCUGCUUCAAGUACCUAGGCAGGCAUCAGUGUAACAGCUACUCAGCUGAUUUGAAGCAAAUGGAUGCUUACAUUACAGGGACUUGGCCACCAACACCGUUGACGUUGAACUCGAGCUCCUUCAAUCUGGGAAGUUUCUUGAUGCCGGAGAGAGAUGUGGAAGAUGACCAGACAAUCUUCUCGAGCCUAGGAGCUGACCCGCUGUUGAAAUCAAUCUCGGUAAUGGCUAAGCAGUCAACAACAAGAAGGUUGAGCCAUAAGAACUCAUCUUUUUUCAAUGUAAUCUUGUUCUGA